CCUACGGGAGGCAGCAGUGAGGAAUAUUGGUCAAUGGACGAGAGUCUGAACCAGCCAAGUAGCGUGCAGGAUGACUGCCCUAUGGGUUGUAAACUUCUUUUAUAUGGGAAUAAAAUGUCCCACGUGUGGGAUUUUGUAUGUACCAUAUGAAUAAGGAUCGGCUAACUCCGUGCCAGCAGCCGCGGUAAUACGGAGGAUCCGAGCGUUAUCCGGAUGUAUUGGGUUUAAAGGGAGAGUAGGUGGUAUGUUAAGUCAGUUGGGAAAGUUUGCGGCUCAACCGUAACAUUGCAGUUGAAACUGGCAGUCGUGAGUACAGGAGAGGUGGGCGGAAUUCGUGGUGUAGCGGUGAAAUGCUUAGAUAUCACGAAGAACUCCGAUUGCGAAGGCAGCUUACUGGACUGCAACUGACGCUGAGGCUCGAAAGUGUGGGUAUCAAACAGGAUUAGAUACCCCUGUAGUC
This 460-nucleotide ribosomal RNA is filed under the name uncultured bacterium. Its description in RNAcentral is "partial 16S ribosomal RNA". It matches the Rfam family "Bacterial small subunit ribosomal RNA", at positions 338 to 795 of the family's 1533-position model. The record is from RNAcentral.